RNAcentral lists this unclassified non-coding RNA (228 nucleotides) under uncultured fungus. Its description in RNAcentral is "sequence contains ITS1, 5.8S rRNA gene". The stretch from base 180 to 228 matches the Rfam family "5.8S ribosomal RNA", at positions 1 to 49 of the family's 154-position model. Lineage: Eukaryota; Fungi. The record is from RNAcentral.
UCUCCGUAGGUGAACCUGCGGAGGGAUCAUUACUGAGUGAGGGUUUAACCGCCCGACCUCCAACCCUUUGUGAAUCGUACUCGUUGCUUCGGGGGCGACCCUGCCGUUUCGACGGCGAGCGCCCCCGGGGUCAAUCAAACACUGCAUCGUUGCGUCGGAGUUUAACACAAAUUAAACAAAACUUUCAACAACGGAUCUCUUGGUUCUGGCAUCGAUGAAGAACGCAGC